GGCCGUCGAGGGGCGGUCCCCGCCGGCCCGAUGAGGCCGGGCGGGCCGGACUCCCGGGCUGGACUCCCGGGGCGGUCUCC
This 80-nucleotide transfer RNA is filed under the name Streptomyces inusitatus. RNAcentral's name for it is "tRNA-Leu". The record is from RNAcentral. Lineage: Bacteria; Bacillati; Actinomycetota; Actinomycetes; Kitasatosporales; Streptomycetaceae.